UAACUUCUCAUUAUGCCUUCUGGAGUUAUCCCAUACGCUCUGGGCGUGGUGAGAAGUUCACC
RNAcentral lists this microRNA precursor (62 nucleotides) under Homo sapiens (human). RNAcentral's name for it is "miAB40_pre". The record is from RNAcentral. Lineage: Eukaryota; Metazoa; Chordata; Mammalia; Primates; Hominidae.